UUAGAUAGUUGGUAGGGUAAUGGCCUACCAAGUCAACGAUCAAUAGCUGGUUUGAGAGGAUGAUCAGCCACACUGGGACUGAGACACGGCCCAGACUCCUACGGGAGGCAGCAGUGGNNNAUAUUGCGCAAUGGGNNNAACCCUGACGCAGCCAUGCCGCGUGAGUGAUGAAGGCCCUAGGGNUGUAAGCUCUUUCGCUCGUGAG
Molecule: ribosomal RNA, 205 nt
Filed under: marine snow associated bacterium Adriatic52
Lineage: Bacteria
Description: partial 16S ribosomal RNA
Rfam family: Bacterial small subunit ribosomal RNA
Source: RNAcentral